CUGGUUCCCAAAGCUUUUACACUUCCUCCCAGUAAUGAUUUAAUGGGAUUGACUCCCAAAGCAGAAAUUAAAAGUGUCUUCUCGAUUGUCUUUGGUGUUGUUCUUCCGGCUCUCAGUGACUCCUGUCUGUGCCAGCGUGCCAACCUGCCAGGGGUGAAGAUGCUGCGCUCCAACGCAGAGGGAGCGUCCCUGAAAGGCUGCAACUCUGAGGACCCAUCAGGCCUUAAAGCUAAUCUGGAAGGUGCCAACCUGAAAGGAGUGGCCAUGGAGGGCAGUCAGAUGACAGGAAUUAACCUCCGAGUUGCAACGCUGAGAAACGCCAAACUAAAAAACUGUAACCUCAGGGGAGCAACGUUGGCAGGAACUGAUUUGGAAGUUGUGACCUCCAGGAAGCCAAUUUGAGGGGCUCUGAUGUGAAAGGAGCCAUCUUUGAAGAGAUGCUGACCCCCCUGCACACGUCCCAGAGCGUCAGAUAGGGAAGAGAAAAGGUCAAAGAGGAAGGAAUCCAAACAUUUGUUGUGACUUUCUUCACCUCCUCCUCUUCCUGAGUUAGAAGGAAUGGUUAUUAGACAACUUCCAUUUGCA
Molecule: long non-coding RNA, 585 nt
Organism: Pseudopipra pipra
Lineage: Eukaryota; Metazoa; Chordata; Aves; Passeriformes; Pipridae
Exons: 3
Source: RefSeq, a predicted model, not a curated record